AGCUGGGGCUGCCCCUGGAUCCCUGGCAGUGCCCAAGGCCAGGCUUGGAACAGCCUGGGACAGGAGAAGGUGUCCCUGCCAUGGCUGGGGAGGAAUGAGAUGAGCUUCAAAGUCUUUUUGAACAUAAACCCUUCUAUGGCCCUGUGAUUUCAUUGUCUUUAUUAAUGGAUACCUAAUAAAGCCUAAUAUGCCUAGUAGCUCUUUCCCCUUUAAUCAUGCUUUAGCAACAGCAGAGUUCCUUUUUGCAAGUACCUGGAGCAGCUGCUGUGUCCUCUACCACUUUCCAAGUGUUUGAGAAAGUGACUCUAUUAACCAGCCAAAGCACACUGCAGCAAGGCUUAAUGCUUCUUCCAAAUGAAUAAUUUUCCUUUUUUGAAGAUAAUGAAAAUAUCUAUUUUCUAUUAGGAUCUAUUAGGAGACUUGUAAAUUGUACAUGCUUAAAUAUGGAACUAUACAGAAUGCCUGCUUUUGUUCUCCCUUGAGACAUCUGAAAUAGUUACAUAUACAUUUAUUCAUAGUUAUGAAAUAUGUUUCCAAAUGUAAUCCAUAAUAUUUAUUUUGAAAUAAAUUUGAUAUCAGACACCUAGAUAUAAGCUAGCAGACACAGACAAACACCUGCACACCAGCAUAAAAUAAUUUUAUUUGAAGCAAUGUGAGGACCUUUUGCUUAGGAUGUUUGUCUGUUUGAAUAAUUGGCAGAGCUACAUGUGACAAGCUUUGCAUUCAGGACAUCAAAGUGCAUGUUUCAAUCAGUUCAAGCUGCAGAAAGCAAGGAUAAAUGACAUGAAAAACAUGGCUUCCAAAGUGCUUUUAAUUGUCAGGAAAAAGACAGGCAGACAUGAGUCUCUGGGGGCUAAACACUUUCUUCUGGCUUGUUGAAGCAUGCAAAUAAAUAGAUGCAAUUUUUUUUUCUUUCUUUCUUAAAGAAGAUAUAAAUAAAUAAAAAGUUAUAUUGAAUGCCCCUUGCCAAAACCAUAACAGACAUGAGAAAUAGGAGGACACUUUCAAAGCAGUGUUCAAGUCUAUCAGUGCAAAGCACUAGUCUCAGUCUCCACACACAACUUUGAAAUAUUUCCCAGAGGUUUUGUCUGGUGUUCUGUCAUUCCUAAAAAAAAAAAAAAAAACCCACCAAAAAAACCCCCACAAAACAAAAAACAAGAAAAAAAAACCAAAACAACAAAACAAAACAAAAAAAACCCAACAAAACAUUUCAUGGCAAAAAUGAAAGAAAAAAACAUCAAAGGCUGAAAGAAAAUGGUCUGUGCAAAACAAGACAGUGAGCAAAGUACCUCUGGCUGGACAAACAGAUUUUGGUGCAGUAAAGAAAAAAAAUAUACCUCAUAAAUAUUUUGUUUCUGAGAGUAACCUGACCUCAUUCUACUCCAAGGUGACCCACUGAGUGCAUGAGGGAGAAGCUGUGGAUGAUGUCUUUCUGACCUUGAGGACUUCAGGAAGGACUUGGACACUGUGUCCCACAGUUUUUUCCUGGGAAAACCAUGAGAGGGGUUUUCCUCUCAUGCCUUGGACAGCUGUGCUGUUCCCUGUUUAAAACAACACUUCCUGGAUGGAUGGUCCUAAUGACCAGUUGCAAGUGGAAUUCACUAGUGGUAGUCCCCAGUACAGGGCCCUGUGGUAUUUAACAUCUUUAUUUAUGAUCUGGGCAGGCUGCAUGGAUGGGCUGAGGCCAGUGGGGUGAAGUAAAAGCAGGCCAAGUGCCAGCUGAAAAAGUUUGGAGCCAGUCUGCCAUGAACAGCUGCUACAGAAGUUCCUGUGCUCUGUAGACAGAGGACAAUUUUACGAGAAAUAAGGAGUGCUAGGAGGGGUUUUCCUCUCAUAACUGCUGAGCUCAUCCUUUCAAGAUGCAGAUACAAGGAAUGAACAAGCUCAAGGACUCUGGGAAGACCGAUCCACAAUGUGGAGGACUUCCACAUCUCACAGAAUAUUCCAUCCUGUAAGUCAGCAGCCCAGAAAUUUCUCAGCAACACAAACGUUAUUGGUUUGUUUGGCACAGAAUGACAAUAACACUUGUGAAAGGAACGUGAUUUAUUCCACUUCUGAGAAGAAGCAACACCCUUGACCAAGUGCUGCCUGAACCAGCAUCUCCACGGCUUGCUGCAAAAUAAAGCAGGAAAGCUCUCAGAUUUAGUUUCAGAGUAGGCAAAAGGGGAAGUAAAACACCCUGAUUCUGCAGUGAGCAUUGGUUUCUAUGAAGUUAUAUCUACCAGAAGAGGAAAUAAAGCAGAGAGGAUACUCUCCAGAUGCUUUUUAAGCCAAAAGAGGUAUUUUAUUGACUGUAUUCCUUUAGCUGUUAUCACCAUUUUGUGUCACUCACUGUUAUUUUGGUAUUAUAAGAAUUCAUUGCACACACUUUAACUGUGGUCAUACUCAUUGCAACAAUGAGCUGCCAUAAAAUAAUACGUAAUAUACUAUAUUAUAAUUUUAACAAUUGCCAGCAGGCAUACAAGAACAGUCAUAUGCAUUUUUAUUAAUGAAUCGCAUUAAUUUAGAAUGGUUUAUUCUGUUUAUGCAUCAACAGAGAGAUCAUACAACUCAGUUGCCACAUUUUAUGUGUGAACAGCUUUCCAACCUCCUCAAAAGCGUUCAACAGCCACCUGAUUGGAAGAAGAAAGGCAGCAGAGCAGUCCACAGCUGAGAAAUGAGGCAGGAUUCUGCUAAUUUACUCAUUCCAGGAAGCUCACCCUGCACAAGCAGUGCCAUUUGAACAAAUUGUGCUGCUUGUUAGUAAGGAUCAGGAACCUGAAGAAAUGUAAUAAAUUUAAACCUGCACAGGGGUUGUAGGGCUAGACUUAAACGUACCUGUUGUCAAAGUCACUUCAUCAAGGAGGCUGAACAUGGGCUGUGGAAGAAGAAGUGUGUUAUUUUCUAAAAAACUUUUUAUUUUCUAAAAAUAUUUUCUUUUCUAAAAAAAAAAAAUUAUAAAAAGUAGAACUAACAUGUAGCAGCUUUAUGCUGUCUUUGAGCUUCUUUGUAUUCUGUAAAGACAUUCAUAGAAUCAAAGAAUGGUUUGGUUUUUUUUUAAGGGACAUUUCAAGGCCAUCAUGUCCAACCCCUGUAAUGAGCAGGGACAUCUUCAACAAGGUCAGGCUGCUCACAGCCCUGUCCAACCCAACCUUGAAGGGAUGAUGCACCCACCACCUCUCUGAAGAGCCUGUUCCAGUGUCUCACCACCUUCAUCAUAGAAAAUGUCUUCCCUUCAUCUAGUUUUAGCUCUUCCCUCUUUGAGUUUAAAAGCAGCAUCUCUUGUCCUUUUAUUACAGCCCCUGAUAAAAAUUCUGUCCCCAUCUUUCUUGUCAGCUCCCUUUAGGCAGUGGAAGGGGCUCUAAGGUCUCCCCAGAGCCUUCUUUUCUCCAAGCUGAACACCCCAAGCUCUCACAGACUUUCAAGUAAUUCAUCCGUACUUUAAAAUCAGUUAAAAUAUUGUUCUGCAGAGAACGUGGCAAGAAGGGUUUUUUUUCCUUUGAGGUAUUAAAAAAGUUGUAAGAUGGUUUCCACAGCAACUCUGACAUUACACACCAAUAUAAUUUUCAGGCCUCCUGAAAUUUAUUUAUUUAUUUGUGCCUGCAGCUUUGCCUCUGGCAUAAACCUUUGCUACUGAGCUGAAGCUUAUGAUACGUGUCAUGAUUUUUUUCCACUGCCAAAUCUAGAUCUGACCAGCUAGUUUAAAAGGGAGAAUUCUCAUAGCUGAAAGAAGAGGGAGGAUUAAAAGAAAAAAAUAAACCCAAAAACUUACUGUCAAGCUUGCAUCUACAAAGAGAUGGAUGCAGAAGUGAGUGAAGGUUGUUACAAAAUGACUGCUUCAGGACCUGAAUUAUUCUGGAAUGUAGAAAAUAUAGAAGCAGCAAAAUAUGGCCAAAAAGAAAGGCUGAGGAGAGCAGCUGCUGCAAAUCUUGC
Passer domesticus (house sparrow) is the source of this 3912-nucleotide long non-coding RNA. RefSeq lists it as uncharacterized. The transcript has 4 exons. Lineage: Eukaryota; Metazoa; Chordata; Aves; Passeriformes; Passeridae. The record is from RefSeq and is a predicted model, not a curated record.